RNAcentral lists this ribosomal RNA (496 nucleotides) under uncultured bacterium. RNAcentral's name for it is "partial 16S ribosomal RNA". It matches the Rfam family "Bacterial small subunit ribosomal RNA", at positions 28 to 507 of the family's 1533-position model. The record is from RNAcentral.
GAUGAACGCUGCUGCGUGCCCAAUACUUCCAUGCUUAGCCAACAGACUAGGAUCCUUCUCCUCUUACGUUUCCCUGGGACCGUUGAAUUACACCUGGAUUACCUACCCAUUAGACUGGGAUUAAUUCUGGAAACCCGAACUAAUACCCGAUAAAUCAUUUAACCUCCUUGUUUAAUUCUUCAACUCCGUUUUUCCGUUCCUUUUACCUUGAUCCGCGUCCGCUUAGCUUGUUGGUAAGGUAACGGCCUACCAAGGCAACGAUGUGUAGCCGACCUGAGAGGGUGAUCGGCCACACUGGAACUAAGACACGGUCCAGACUCCUACGGGAGGCAGAAGUAGGGAAUCUUCCGAAAUGGGCGAAAGCUUGACGGAGCAACGCCGCGUGAGUGAUGAAGGUCUUCGGAUCGUAAAACUCUGUUAUUAGGGAAGAACAAAUGUGUAAGUAACUAUGCACGUCUUGACGGUACCUAAUCAGAAAGCCACGGCUAACUACGUG